This 305-nucleotide ribosomal RNA is filed under the name uncultured bacterium. Its description in RNAcentral is "bacterial SSU rRNA". It matches the Rfam family "Bacterial small subunit ribosomal RNA", at positions 338 to 640 of the family's 1533-position model. The record is from RNAcentral.
CCUACGGGGCGCAGCAGUGAGGAAUAUUGGUCAAUGGUCGGGAGACUGAACCAGCCAAGCCGCGUGAGGGAUGAAGGUACAGAGUAUCGUAAACCUCUUUUGUCAGGGAACAAAGGCGGGGACGUGUCCCCGGAUGAGUGUACCUGAAGAAAAAGCAUCGGCUAACUCCGUGCCAGCAGCCGCGGUAAUACGGAGGAUGCGAGCGUUACUCGGAAUCACUGGGCGUAAAGAGUGCGCAGGCGGGCUUGUAGGUCAGAUGUGAAAUCCUGUAGCUUAACUACAGAACUGCAUUUGAAACUAUGAGU